Molecule: ribosomal RNA, 614 nt
Filed under: uncultured beta proteobacterium
Lineage: Bacteria; Pseudomonadati; Pseudomonadota; Betaproteobacteria
Description: bacterial SSU rRNA
Rfam family: Bacterial small subunit ribosomal RNA
Source: RNAcentral
GCUCCUGGUGGCGAGUGGCGAACGGGUGAGUAAUGCGUCGGAACGUACCGAGUAAUGGGGGAUAACGCACCGAAAGGUGUGCUAAUACCGCAUACGCCCUGAGGGGGAAAGCAGGGGAUCGUAAGACCUUGCGUUAUUCGAGCGGCCGACGUCUGAUUAGCUAGUUGGUAAGGUAAUGGCUCACCAAGGCGACGAUCAGUAGCGGGUCUGAGAGGAUGAUCCGCCACACUGGAACUGAGACACGGUCCAGACUCCUACGGGAGGCAGCAGUGGGGAAUUUUGGACAAUGGGGGAAACCCUGAUCCAGCCAUUCCGCGUGAGUGAAGAAGGCCUUCGGGUUGUAAAGCUCUUUCAGCUGGAACGAAACGGUACGCUCUAACAUAGUGUGCUAAUGACGGUACCAGCAGAAGAAGCACCGGCUAACUACGUGCCAGCAGCCGCGGUAAUACGUAGGGUGCGAGCGUUAAUCGGAAUUACUGGGCGUAAAGCGUGCGCAGGCGGAUUGUUAAGCAAGACGUGAAAUCCCCGGGCUUAACCUGGGAAUGGCGUUUUGAACUGGCAGUCUAGAGUGUGUCAGAGGGGGGUAGAAUUCCACGUGUAGCAGUGAAAUGCGU